Molecule: ribosomal RNA, 253 nt
Filed under: uncultured bacterium
Lineage: Bacteria
Description: partial 16S ribosomal RNA
Rfam family: Bacterial small subunit ribosomal RNA
Source: RNAcentral
UACGUAGGGGGCGAGCGUUGUCCGGAGUUACUGGGCGUAAAGGGCACGCAGGCGGUUGUGUCCGUUUGCGGGGACAGUGGGUGGCUUAACUGCCCAAGGGUCGCAAAGACGGCACGACUGGAGAGCGAGAGAGGGACCUGGAACUCCGGGUGGAGCGGUGAAAUGCGUAGAGAUCCGGAGGAACACCAGAGGCGAAGGCGGCCUGCUGGGCUGCACCUGACGCUGAGCCGCGAAAGCCAGGGGAGCGAACGGG